Molecule: long non-coding RNA, 702 nt
Organism: Schistocerca nitens (vagrant locust)
Lineage: Eukaryota; Metazoa; Arthropoda; Insecta; Orthoptera; Acrididae
Exons: 3
Source: RefSeq, a predicted model, not a curated record
UGUUCAGCUAAGCGCUGUCAAGCUGUAUUCGUCAGCUAGCUCGUGAAGAUCAUAAGCUGCCAUCAUGGUGAAGCAAUUCACUGGCAAGACGCACCAGACGGAAAAUUCCGAGUACCUCGACGCCUUUCUCACUGCCUACGCACGGGCACUGGUAACGUCGAUGUCCAGCUCCUCAAGGCAGCACCAGCACAGCAGCAACAGCAGCAACACAACAACAACAAUAAAUUCAGUAAGAGAGAUGGCCGGUGGACAGAUGGUCAACACUCAGAGGGAUUUCAGUCAAAACACGUGAAAUAACCCAAACUAUCGGUGACGUCGCAUAGAAGAUGAAUUACAAUGCUGUUCAAGGAUCAUUGGAUGUACGUGUAUUUGCUCUGUUUGCUUUCCGAUUAUCAUACGGACAGCAUUGUUUCUACUAGGAGUUUAAUAUAUCAAAUAAUGAACUAACUUCAGAUUUUCUGUCUUUCACAGUCGAUGUUUCAGAAGUAUAAUAAAAUCUUCAAGGCGUUGGUGUAAAAUACAUGACUACGUGACAGAAAGGAUAACACUAGCUACAUCAGAUCAGCGAACGAUGAUUACAAUGAGCUGUCUUGUCCAAGAUAAUAAUGUAUCUGUUUGUAAUGAUUUUGUAGCGUCUUGCUUUGUAGAGAGUUAGUUAGCUAGUUUCAUGUUGCAUGGACCAUUUACAUGAUAAAUAGUAAC